UCUCUCGACCCGGAUUUGAACCAGCGACCUAAGGAUCACCGUUGUAACAUCUACAGUCCGCCGCUCUGCCAACUGAGCUAUCGAGGG
RNAcentral lists this transfer RNA (87 nucleotides) under Cordylochernes scorpioides. Its description in RNAcentral is "tRNA-Tyr". Lineage: Eukaryota; Metazoa; Arthropoda; Arachnida; Pseudoscorpiones; Chernetidae. The record is from RNAcentral.